RNAcentral lists this ribosomal RNA (495 nucleotides) under uncultured bacterium. RNAcentral describes it as "partial 16S ribosomal RNA". It matches the Rfam family "Bacterial small subunit ribosomal RNA", at positions 28 to 507 of the family's 1533-position model. The record is from RNAcentral.
GAUGAACGCUGGCGGCGUGCCUAAUACAUGCAAGUCGAGCGAACAGAUAAGGAGCUUGCUCCUUUGACGUUAGCGGCGGACGGGUGAGUAACACGUGGGUAACCUACCUAUAAGACUGGGAUAACUUCGGGAAACCGGAGCUAAUACCGGAUAACAUUUGGAACCGCAUGGUUCUAAAGUGAAAGAUGGUUUUGCUAUCACUUAUAGAUGGACCCGCGCCGUAUUAGCUAGUUGGUAAGGUAACGGCUUACCAAGGCAACGAUACGUAGCCGACCUGAGAGGGUGAUCGGCCACUGGAACUGAGACACGGUCCAGACUCCUACGGGAGGCAGCAGUAGGGAAUCUUCCGCAAUGGGCGAAAGCCUGACGGAGCAACGCCGCGUGAGUGAUGAAGGGUUUCGGCUCGUAAAACUCUGUUAUUAGGGAAGAACAAAUGUGUAAGUAACUGUGCACGUCUUGACGGUACCUAAUCAGAAAGCCACGGCUAACUACGUG